AUCACUUCUCAGCCUUUUGGCUAAGAUCAAGUGUAGUAUCUGUUUUUAUCAGUUUAAUAUCUGAUAUGUCUGCUAUCUCAGGACACUAUAUUAAAUGAAUUUUUGGAGGUUGGAGUUGUAAUAGGAGCUUGCUCCAUCCACUCCACGCACCAACCUGAUCUUGCAGUACCACUAGGAAUGGUGGACCCCCU
This is a small nuclear RNA of Jaculus jaculus (lesser Egyptian jerboa), 191 nucleotides long. Its record names the gene U2. It matches the Rfam family "U2 spliceosomal RNA". From Rfam's summary of the family: U2 is a small nuclear RNA (snRNA) component of the spliceosome (involved in pre-mRNA splicing). NCBI's taxonomy places the organism in Eukaryota, Metazoa, Chordata, Mammalia, Rodentia, Dipodidae. The record is from Ensembl.